Molecule: long non-coding RNA, 403 nt
Filed under: Fragaria vesca (wild strawberry)
Lineage: Eukaryota; Viridiplantae; Streptophyta; Magnoliopsida; Rosales; Rosaceae
Description: long non-coding RNA (FVES_LNC000168)
Source: RNAcentral
UUUGAAUACUAGGUGUUAUACCGAUUUCAGUCACUUUCUACAUCAAUGGGAAUACCAAUGGCAGCUAAGACAUGGGGACUAACUGGGUCUCAAGUAACUUGAAAAAUGAAUAUUACAAAAUGUAUACAAUUUUGGUAGAAGUUACUGAACGGAACACAGAGAUAGAAGUUUCUACUAAACUGGGCUCAUCUAUUCUUAAUAGUACAACCUUGACGACAGUAAAGAAGAAGAAGAAGAAGAAGAAGAAGAAGAAGAAGAAGAAGAAGAAGAGAGAAACACUCAAAAACUGGUAUUUUAUUGAGAGAGACAAAGAGCUAGGGUGAGUAGUUUCAGAACAAUUUUUGAAUUUCCUUAUCGAAAGCCAUGGGGACAAGGGUCUCGUAUGCCUUCUCUGUGGGAUGGU